Molecule: long non-coding RNA, 1161 nt
Organism: Drosophila pseudoobscura
Lineage: Eukaryota; Metazoa; Arthropoda; Insecta; Diptera; Drosophilidae
Exons: 3
Source: RefSeq, a predicted model, not a curated record
AAUUUACGUAAUUGUUGGGCCGUUGGUGUUUUUCGCGGAUAGCACAGGUGUUUUUCCGCUUUUGUUCCCCCUUUUAGACGCAGCUUUGGAAAUUGGCCUCUGUUCUUCUCAGAAAGAUUCACUUCGGAUGCGCCAUGUAAUGACACGUUAAGAACGGACCCGAAUUCCGUUUGGCUCGUGCCCGCUGCCGUUAUUCACCAAAACUGCUUUCGACGACGACAAUGACAGCACCAUCGCCACCAGCAGCUGCGACAGCGGUGGAACAGAGUCCGUAGUCGGCAAGCGACACGCAAAAAAAAAACACACAUACACGCGUGCACGGACAGAUAUGCCCAGAGAGAGGGAAUUGGUAUGCGUAGAUAACGGACAGAAGUGGCAGAUAUCGAAGUGGUAGUACCCAUGGGGAUUUGUAUGCACAUACAGAGAUAGACGUAUUGAAAGCGGACGCCACAGACAGAGAGAGAGCCCUCGAACUACAUAAGGUAAAGGCAGAAGAAGUUCUAGAAGUUCACAUAAGAUCUGAACUAGUUCUAAAAAUGGGAAUUUGGCAGUGGAAUAUAUGAAGUAUGAAGUUAUGUAUGUUUCCACUCUAGAACGGACUGCUUAAGGAAAAUAGGAAUAGGUUACUCAAACUAAUCGUAGUUUUCGAUUCAAAUAUUUGAACCCCACUAGAUCAAAAUCGAAUAAUUAUUCCAAAUGUAGUUAUUACAGUAACGAUCGAUCUGAAUUGUUCAAUCCUUUCAAUUUUUCAAACAAAUGUUCUUCCACUCGUUAAUUUUUACUAAUUCCGCUCAAUUUCGAUAGCUGCCGGGUACUAUAGAUGUUUCAUUCUGUCUUGACUCUCCCCAUCGACACCAUGACAAGGGGCCCUACAUAUGCAUAUAUGUAGAUUGAUAAGCAGGCAAUGACAUUUGCAAAAGAAAUGAACAACGCAGCUGGCGUCAACCUACGCGUUAUUUCUGAGGGCCUGCUAUCAGUCUCGCCUUACUCUUCGACCAGUUAAAAAGGAGUUCCUAUAUAUCUGCAGAUGUGGUUGCGCCAUUACUACUACUCUCACUCCCGCUGGCCGCCUCGAAUAGCGCCGUUGGAUCUCCGCCGGAGGCGCGAUACUUUUCUACAUCGGAGAGCAACCGUUCCAGAUACUCCACAUAAAGCGUCUCC